This 520-nucleotide ribosomal RNA is filed under the name uncultured Phialocephala fortinii. Its description in RNAcentral is "eukaryotic LSU rRNA". The stretch from base 178 to 331 matches the Rfam family "5.8S ribosomal RNA". The record is from RNAcentral. Lineage: Eukaryota; Fungi; Ascomycota; Leotiomycetes; Helotiales.
UUACAAGUGAGGCUACCGAACGUUGGAAACAGCGGUUAGGAGCUUACACCCACCCGUGUUUACAUACUAUUGUUGCUUUGGCGGGCCGUGGCCUCCACYGCGGGCUCUGCUCGUGUGUGCCCGCCAGAGAACCAAACUCUGAAUGUUAGUGAUGUCUGAGUACUAUCUAAUAGUUAAAACUUUCAACAACGGAUCUCUUGGUUCUGGCAUCGAUGAAGAACGCAGCGAAAUGCGAUAAGUAAUGUGAAUUGCAGAAUUCAGUGAAUCAUCGAAUCUUUGAACGCACAUUGCGCCCUGUGGUAUUCCGCAGGGCAUGCCUGUUCGAGCGUCAUUUAACCACUCACGCCUAGCGUGGUAUUGGGGCACGCGGUCUCCGCGGCCCUCAAAAUUAGUGGCGGCGCCGGUGGGCUCUAAGCGUAGUACAUACUCCCGCUAUAGAGCUCCCCCGGUGGCUCGCCAGAACCCCCAAUUUUUACAGGUUGACCUCGGAUCAGGUAGGGAUACCCGCUGAACUUAAGCA